Long non-coding RNA from Pararge aegeria (speckled wood butterfly), 489 nucleotides. RefSeq lists it as uncharacterized. NCBI's taxonomy places the organism in Eukaryota, Metazoa, Arthropoda, Insecta, Lepidoptera, Nymphalidae. The record is from RefSeq and is a predicted model, not a curated record. The transcript is spliced from 3 exons.
CUCAGUUGGCAAAGCACUCAGGCCGGGAUUCGUUCAAAUCCUGCCAGUUCCGAAAAUGAUAAGGCAUGCAUGCAUUUAUAAUUUAUAUUUCUACCAUAAAUAAACUGAUACGAUUUAUUACAUAAAAGAUUUUAUAGAGUCAGUGCGUGCAACUAUUAAAAUUGAACGGGUCCGAGCAGACGCAAAUCUUGUUUAUUUUUCUUAUAAACUUAUGAUUGGAGGAAAAUCUCACUAGUGCAAUCGCCAACUUUGCCUUAUUAUACCAUCGCACGAUGUCGGAAUUUCACGGGCUUUACUUUACAUUGGGAUAGCAUGGAUACGACAUGCGAUUAAAAAUUAGUAAGUAACGUUUUCCUCCGUUGGCGUCUACUCGAGUCGCGUAUGAAGGGCAUGCGAGGAACACGCCUUAUAAAUCCUGUAUCCGUUCACCUGAAGCGUAUACGUACACCGGCAACUACGCCAAUCAGACCGGAACACAAUGCUGCUUGG